RNAcentral lists this ribosomal RNA (375 nucleotides) under uncultured organism. RNAcentral's name for it is "partial 16S ribosomal RNA". It matches the Rfam family "Bacterial small subunit ribosomal RNA", at positions 527 to 896 of the family's 1533-position model. The record is from RNAcentral.
GUAGGUGGCAAGCGUUGUCCGGGAAUUAUUGGGGCGUAAAGCGCGCGCAGGCGGUUCUUUAAGUCUGAUGUGAAAGCCCACGGGCUCAACCGUGGAGGGUCAUUGGAAACUGGAGAACUUGAGUACAGAAGAGGAAAGCGGAAUUCCACGUGUAGCGGUGAAAUGCGUAGAGAUGUGGAGGAACACCAGUGGCGAAGGCGGCUUUCUGGUCUGUAACUGACGCUGAGGCGCGAAAGCGUGGGGAGCAAACAGGAUUAGAUACCCUGGUAGUCCACGCCGUAAACGAUGAGUGCUAAGUGUUAGGGGGUUUCCGCCCCUUAGUGCUGCAGCUAACGCAUUAAGCACUCCGCCUGGGGAAUACGGCCGCAAAGGCUG